CCACCUCGGGACCCCCAAAAUCCCCCAAAUCCACCCCAAAAUAUCCCAAAACCACCCAAAACCCACCCAAAAUAACCCAAAAUAACCAAAAUAUCCCAAAUUCACCUCUACUACUUCGAGUACACCACGGUGAGACCCCAAAAAUCCCAAAAUUUACCCCAAAAUCAUCCAAAAUCCACCUCGGGACCCCCAAAAUCCCCCAAAUCCACCCCAAAAUAUCCCAAAACCACCCAAAACCCACCCAAAAUAACCCAAAAUAAACCAAAAUAUCCCAAAAUAACCAAAAUAUCCCAAAUUCACCUCUACUACUUUGAGUACACCACGGUGAGACCCCAAAAACCCCAAAAUUCACCCCAAAAUUCACCCCAAAAUAUCCAAAAUAUCCCAAAUUCACCUCUACUACUUCGAGUACACCACGGUGAGACCCCAAAAAGCCCAAAAUUCACCCCAAAAUUCCCAAAUUUACCCCAAAAUCCCCCAAAUCUGCCCCAAAAUACCCAAAAUAUCCCAAAAUCUGCCCAAAAAUCCACCUUGGGAUCCCCAAAAUCCUUCCCUGGGACCCCAAAUUCCCCGAAAAUCCCAGAAAUUCUCCCCAAAAUCCCCAAGUUUUGCCCCAAAAUUCCAAAAUUCCCAAAAUUCCCCCAAAAUUCCCAAAUUUCCAGGACAAGGAGCUGUGGGGAAUCAUCCAUGAGGUGGAAUCUGCCCCAAAAUCGCCCAAAUCCACCCCAAAAUUCUUCCCUGGGAUCCCAAAUUUCCCCAAAAAAUACCCAAAAAAUACCCAAAAAUUCCCAAAAUUCCCAAAAUUCCCCCAAAUUCCGGAAUUUCCAGGACAAGGAGCCGCGGGGAAUCAUCCCCCUGGAGAACCUGAGCAUCCGCGAGGUCGAGGAUCCGCGCAAGCCGGUGAGAGCCAAAAUCCCCCAAAAUCGCCCCAAAAAUCAUCCAAAAAUCAUCUCCAAAUGCCCCAAAAUUGCCCCAAAAAUCACCCCAAAAAUCAUCUCAAAAUGCCCCAAAAAUCAACCCGAAAUCAGCCCAAAAUUGUCCUAAAAUCCCCCAAAAAUCACCCCAAAAAUCAUCCAAAAAUCAUCUCCAAAUGCCCCAAAAUCGCCCCAAAAAUCACCCCAAAA
RNAcentral lists this long non-coding RNA (1124 nucleotides) under Chloebia gouldiae (Gouldian finch). Its description in RNAcentral is "Erythrura gouldiae (Gouldian finch) lncRNA (ENSEGOG00005018455.1)". The record is from RNAcentral. Lineage: Eukaryota; Metazoa; Chordata; Aves; Passeriformes; Passeridae.